GACGAACGCUGGCGGCGUGCUUAACACAUGCAAGUCGAACGGUGAACGAGGGAGCUUGCUCCCUCCGGAUCAGUGGCGAAAGGGUGAGUAACACGUGAGCAAUCUGCCCCGAACUCUGGGAUAAGCGUUGGAAACGACGUCUAAUACCGGAUACGACGCGGGAGGGCAUCCUCUCCGCGUGGAAAGAACUUCGGUUCGGGAUGAGCUCGCGGCCUAUCAGCUUGUUGGUGAGGUAACGGCUCACCAAGGCGACGACGGGUAGCCGGCCUGAGGGGGUGACCGGCCACACUGGGACUGAGACACGGCCCAGACUCCUACGGGAGGCAGCAGUGGGGAAUAUUGCACGAUGGGCGCAAGCCUGAUGCAGCAACGCCGCGUGAGGGACGACGGCCUUCGGGUUGUAAACCUCUUUUAGCAGGGAAGAAGCGAAAGUGACGGUACCUGCAGAAAAAGCACCGGCUAACUACGUG
This 470-nucleotide ribosomal RNA is filed under the name uncultured bacterium. Its description in RNAcentral is "partial 16S ribosomal RNA". It matches the Rfam family "Bacterial small subunit ribosomal RNA", at positions 28 to 507 of the family's 1533-position model. The record is from RNAcentral.